RNAcentral lists this long non-coding RNA (3073 nucleotides) under Canis lupus familiaris (dog). Its description in RNAcentral is "lncRNA (ENSCAFG00000055021.1, ENSCAFG00805022092.1, ENSCAFG00845006996.1)". Lineage: Eukaryota; Metazoa; Chordata; Mammalia; Carnivora; Canidae. The record is from RNAcentral.
UUUUUUUUUUUUUUUUAAGAUUUUAUAUAUUUAUUCAUGAGAGACACACGCACACACAGAGAGAAGCAGAGACACAGGCAGAGGGAGAAGCAGGCUCCAUGCAAGGAGCCUGAUGUGGGACUCGAUCCUAGGUCUCCAGGGUCACACCCCGGGCUGCAGGCAGCGCCAAACCGCUGUGCCACUGGGGCUGCCCUCUGAGUCCUCUUGUGGGUAGAACACAGGACGGCUUCCUCCAGGAAGGCAGCUCGGAUGGCGGGCUGCAUGCCGAGCAUGGAGGCCUAGGCAGAGCCCUCCUGCCCCCCCAGACCUCGAGCCAGCUGCCCUCAGGAGGAAACCCGAGUCAUCAGGACCGGGAGCCAGUAGCCAGGGGUGGUGUGGACCCUGCUCAGCUGUCCUGCCCAGGCCAGCGCAUCCUAGGAUCAUUGGAACCAGAGGCCAGCAGCACAGGUUCUAGGCCGGGCCUUCUUGCCAGAAUAUGGGGUUCUGGUGGGUGUUCCCCUCCGCACUAGCAGGCUGGGGGCAUUAUUUCCAAACUCACCCCUCUUCACCGUGUGCGAGCUGGCAUCAUUGUGGCAUCAGGCCUAAACCUCCUCUGGCUCUGGGCAGGUCCCCAAACGUGUGCGCACACACAGAGGGGGUGCCACUGGGGCACUUCAUUUGUCUGCAGGGCCCAGAAGACUUCUGUUCACUCCCAGGGCCCAUGGGGACUGGCGCUGCAGCAGCCAGAGCCUAACGCAAUGAAUGGCUGGGGACCCUUUGUGGUCUGUGGGGACUCUGUGCUUGCCGGCCUCGUGGGGCAGCAGACCUUAGGUACCAAAUGCUGUCAAGAGUAAAACCAUUGGGAACUUCAGAUGGCGACAGCAGCAUCAGGCCAAGCCAGGGCCUCUCUACGGAGGUGGCCCUCAGCCCCCAGUUUGUGCAGCCUGGCCCUCCCCACCUCUGCCACAGCCAGUGGAGGAAGGGAGGAGGGGCAGAUGGCAGGAGGAGGGAGCCAUGCCCGCUGCUAUCAUGGGAAGGAAAGGAACGGGAGGCCAGGUGGAUACCGAGCUGUGUCCUGCCACAAACCUACAACAGCCUUGCCAGAGACAGCUGAGUGCAACCCCUAGGGGCUGCAGAUGGGUAGAUGAGAACUUGGUCCUAUACAGGAUGAGGGCAGGUGGGGAGGGACAAGGUAGAGAGUGCUCAUGCCAGGGGCCCCAGGGCCACCCCAGGCCCCUAGCGCACCCUGUGACAGGCUGCCACCACUCCUGCUUCCCAAGGCACCAAUCAGGGCUUUGUCCCUCAACCCACCCCCAGCAAACACGAGAUCCCAUCUUCCCUGUUGGCGGGUGGGGACACUGAUGUCCUGGUGGGCCGGCCCACAACCCUUCCUUGCCUCCAUGCUUGAGGAGAGGGCUCUCCUGACCACACAGCUCACUCCUGGCUGUGAUGGGUCACCCAAGACCAAAACUGUCCGAACGUGAGAAAAUUCUGAUUUGCUACCUCAGGAAACACCUGCUCUUGGCCUCGUGCACUGGCUGCCCCAGGGCCAGGCUCCCUGAGCAGCCCCCACCUCACCGUGCUGUGUGUCCCCGUCUCUAGAGGGAGUGUUGGAGGGCAGGUCUUCUCUGCCCCCGAGCAGUGACCAGGAGGGCCCCAGAAAGGCCUGGAGGGAGCCAGGGUUGGCAGAUCACAUGUGCUAGAUCCCACCCUCCUUCCCCCCCCCCAGCGCUGCGAAUGGCCUCCCGUCCCCACCCUGAGACCAGCCCAGCACUGUCCCCUUGCUCCUGCCCACACUGUGUUACAGGGCCCAGCUGCCACCCCAGAACGAUGUGCACACCUGCACAGCACUGCACCCAGCCCAGCUGGCACAGCCCUGAGUGAUGGGGUGGCCUGGCUUGCAGGAGGCAGCAGGUGCAGGGGUCCAGGGUGAGAGCAGACAGGAAAGCAGGGCUGGGUGUCCCAGGCUGAGGGAGUACUCAGUACUGGUCUGGAGGUGUGUCAGGGGUGAGGGGAGAGCAGGUGGGUCAUUCUGUAGAGGACGGGGCACCACAGGCAGGGGUACCCAGUGCGGCCCUGCUGGGCCCGGAGCACUCACUGAGAGUGCUCAGUGACAGAGCAGAAGACUCUGGCAAGCCCAGGACAAGAAGGCGUGGGGGCUGCCCAGGCAGCAUGGACUCCUGGUGGGCCAAGCUCAGAGGUUCCUGCUGGCAGGUGUGGCCCCCACUGGGUUUAACUUCUGUGCUUGGAGACUUGAGAGCUGUGUGCUGCCACUUGGUUCAGCUUACCUACCGUUGGUCUCCUCAUUCAAAAUUGCUCAUUCCGGCAGGUCGUAAUUAUUGCCAUUUUGAAGCUCGACAAAGCAGCCUUUUCAGUGUGUCCACUGGAAUCAAAAGGCAUUUGCAGCUUGACACACCUUCUGGUCACUUAGAAAGGACCCAGCCAGCUGCCCCUUCAUGGCUGCACAUUGUCCCUUGCUCCUUCCCCCAGAGCUUCGCCCACAGCAGCAUACGUGAUGCCAAGUGUGUGGGGUUGAAAGUCGAGGGCGUUGCAAACAGCCUGAUCUCUGGGGCACACGAUGGGGCCUGCACCAGCCUUCCCACCCCACCCCACCGCUGUGCCACCAGGCAUGAGCUCUGACCCCUGAAGAGUGAGCGGAAGUGACCUAGAGGUGUGAACUGUACCACCCGGAUGGUGGCUGCUAGUUCCCAGAGUGAGGGGACAGAUGGGCACAGUUCCCAGCCAACCCAAUGACAGAUAAUGAACAGCAGGGUGGUUGAUUCCUGCAACUGAAUGAGCCUCUUGCUUACACUCUGCUGCUUCUCCAGACAAACUUGUAUACGUUGAGGCAGCUGUUUUAAGGGGUUUGUUUGGUUUUCUAGUUAUCUCUGCACCCAACCUGGGGCUCAAACGCACAACCCUGGAGGAGCAUGCGACUCUUAAUCUUGGGGUUUGGGUUUGAACUCCAUGUUGGAUGUAGACAUUACUUUAGAAAAAGGGAAGAGCCUCAGUGGCUCAGUUAAGUGUCCAGCUUUUGAUCUCAGCUCAGGUCUUGACCCUCAGAGUCAUGCAUUUAAAAAAAAAAAAAAAAAAA